Molecule: transfer RNA, 72 nt
Filed under: Niveomyces insectorum RCEF 264
Lineage: Eukaryota; Fungi; Ascomycota; Sordariomycetes; Hypocreales; Cordycipitaceae
Description: Sporothrix insectorum RCEF 264 tRNA
Rfam family: tRNA
About the family: Transfer RNA (tRNA) molecules are approximately 80 nucleotides in length. Their secondary structure includes four short double-helical elements and three loops (D, anti-codon, and T loops). Further hydrogen bonds mediate the characteristic L-shaped molecular structure. tRNAs have two regions of fundamental functional importance: the anti-codon, which is responsible for specific mRNA codon recognition, and the 3' end, to which the tRNAs corresponding amino acid is attached (by aminoacyl-tRNA synthetases). tRNAs cope with the degeneracy of the genetic code in two manners: having more than one tRNA (with a specific anti-codon) for a particular amino acid; and 'wobble' base-pairing, i.e. permitting non-standard base-pairing at the 3rd anti-codon position.
Source: Rfam by way of RNAcentral
GGGGCUGUAACUCAGUGGUAGAGUGCUCGCUUCGCAUGCGAGAAGCCUAGGGUUCGAUCCCCUACUGCUCCA